Molecule: long non-coding RNA, 1117 nt
Organism: Oncorhynchus tshawytscha (Chinook salmon)
Lineage: Eukaryota; Metazoa; Chordata; Actinopteri; Salmoniformes; Salmonidae
Source: Ensembl
ACACACCACACACCACUGUGAACGUAACACACCACACUGUGAACGUAACACACCACACCACACCGUGAACGUAACACACCACACCACACACACACACCACAACAUGAACGUACCACACCACAACACACCACAACAUGAACGUAACACACCACAACAUGAACAUACCACACCACACUGUGAACGUAACACACCACACCACACUGUGAACGUACCACACCACACCAUGAACACACCACAACAUGAACGUAACACACCACACCACACCGUGAAGGUAACACACCACAACAUGAACGUAACACACCACACCGUGAAGGUAACACACCACACCACACCGUCAUGUGACGUCUAUUAUAGUAAAAUCACAAUCCAGGUCUGGCUAUGAUGAGUCUUGAUCUUGGCUUCAACUUUUUUUUUACCAGUAGUAAAGAGCAACGAACGCUCAAUCAGCCCUCUAACCUCACAAAUAUCAUUUAUGGAGGUCAAAGGUUACCACAUUCCAAUUCUCUACCCUUCUCCCUGAGGUGUGCACUUGUACACUUCCCUUUAUGGAUUUAAAAUUAUUGGACUGGUGUCAGAAAUAUGAUGGAAAUGGGAACUCCCCUCCAGUCAUACUUGUACCGAUCCAAUGGUUUUGAGUUCUGGAGAAGGGUGGAACAUCGGAACGCAGCCACAGGGUUCAACUGCACCUCAGAGACUCCUGCCUUAUGUACGGUACAGAGUCAUGGAACCACUUUAAUAACGGUUACAUACUGUUUUACCUACUUCAUGUCUAUAUACUGUAUUCUAGUCAUGGUUCAUUCUAUAUAACUACUGCUGUACACACUUUCUAAUUCAUAUACUGUCUAUACACACCAUCCUAUUAUAACUACUGUCUAUACACACCAUCCUAUAUAUAACUACUGUCUAUACACACCAUCCUAUAUAUAACUACUGUCUAUACACACCAUCCUAUAUAUAACUACUGUCUAUACUGUCUAUACACACCAUCCUAUAUAACUACUGUCUAUACUGUCUAUACACACCAUCCUAUAUAACUACUGUCUAUGCACACCAUCCUAUAUAACUACUGUCUAUACACACCAUCCUAUAUAACUACUGUCUAUACACACCAUCCUAU